UACGGAGGGGGCUAGCGUUGUUCGGAAUUACUGGGCGUAAAGCGCACGUAGGCGGCUUUGCAAGUCAGAGGUGAAAGCCCGGGGCUCAACCCCGGAAUAGCCUUUGAGACUGCAUCGCUAGAAUUGUGGAGAGGUAAGUGGAAUUCCGAGUGUAGAGGUGAAAUUCGUAGAUAUUCGGAAGAACACCAGUGGCGAAGGCGGCUCACUGGACCGGUAUUGACGCUGAGGUGCGAAAGCGUGGGGAUCAAACAGG
This 253-nucleotide ribosomal RNA is filed under the name uncultured bacterium. Its description in RNAcentral is "partial 16S ribosomal RNA". It matches the Rfam family "Bacterial small subunit ribosomal RNA", at positions 524 to 776 of the family's 1533-position model. The record is from RNAcentral.